UCACCUCCUUAAAAGGAGACCUACCCUCUCACUUAGCUAAAGCUAGGAUGAGAAAGGUCAACUAGGUCGUUCGAAGCUUUCCAUAAAUUUCGAUGUGCUUCUAAACUAUCCCGGUUCAGGGAUGGGGGCUAUUAGCUCAGGUGGUUAGAGCGCACCCCUGAUAAGGGUGAGGUCCCUGGUUCGAGUCCAGGAUGGCCCACUCCAUUAAGACAAGGGGGUUUAGCUCAGUUGGUAGAGCGCCUGCUUUGCAAGCAGGAUGUCAGCGGUUCGAGUCCGCUAACCUCCACCAACCGAUUGAUUGAAUCACUCUGUUGAAUUUUUUGUUGAAUUGAGCGAUUGAGGAUAUGCGACAGCAACUCAUCUGCGAGAUGUAGAGAGCCUGCUGGAUUAUGUCCAGUACAAGAACCAAGAAAACUGCAUAGUAAUGAUGUCAGGUAGAGAUACACAGACACCAAUGUAAAGGACUAAAACUGAUUGAAAUAAUUAGU
This 488-nucleotide transfer RNA is filed under the name Leptolyngbya sp. PCC 73110. Its description in RNAcentral is "partial 16S-23S ribosomal RNA intergenic spacer". The stretch from base 214 to 286 matches the Rfam family "tRNA". Lineage: Bacteria; Bacillati; Cyanobacteriota; Cyanophyceae; Leptolyngbyales; Leptolyngbyaceae. The record is from RNAcentral.